RNAcentral lists this unclassified non-coding RNA (624 nucleotides) under Hevea brasiliensis (rubber tree). The record is from RNAcentral. Lineage: Eukaryota; Viridiplantae; Streptophyta; Magnoliopsida; Malpighiales; Euphorbiaceae.
GAUCUGCACUUACAAUAGUUCAACAUGUACACUUAGUAGAUAAAACAAAGAUCCUGAAAAGGCAACAUUUCUACAAAGAGUCUUGAAUUAACAUACAACAUAGGAAGGAAAAUGAUGGAUGGACUCAACAGAUAAUAAGAGAGAAAUGAACAACCUGAAAUCUUCUGAUAUAAUUAUAUUCACAUAGAUCUCUCUGAUGCCAGAUCAAGCAACGUGCGGAAGAGCUGUUGCGGAUACAGGGGAGGUUGCUCUGAAAGUGCCUCGCCAGUGUCAGCAUGAACAAACGCAUCAAUACGCGAAAAUCCUUCUAGUUAUAGAGUGUUUGCAAUAAGUUCAAUACGCUUUUUACACCUUUCCAAGGCCGCACUACUCAUAAUAGAAGGUGGAGGUGGAGUCAGAUUGAUGCCAGUUCCACCUUGGAAUUUCUCCUCCAGUGAUAAUAUGCCUCCAGAUUCUUUCACGGUUACACUAGGAGUCAAUGAACGCAUUGCUCCACGUUUUCCUACAACACCUACAGUGACCUCUACCCAUCUACUAUCCCCUUUCCAGAGCAAAUUGUGUGCAUUCUCAUUUCUGGAUUUGGAUGCAACUACUAUCUCAUCAGUCUCGACAAAAGGUUCGAAU